CAACACCUUGGUGGCGCUGGAAUCCACCAUGACUAUGACAUCACCAUCAGUAGGACCUGCAUGCCCAGACUCUGCUGUCAAAAGCAUGAGAUGACUGUGGCUUGGUGAGCUGGGGGAAUGAAGCCUGGCUGCUGCUUCCUGAAGAUCUCAGCCACUGGAGGGGGUCAGAGCACCUUGCUGCACAGCCUCAGCUGCUUGCUGCAAAAGGAUCACAGAGGAUCCAGUGAGAGACAGGAAGAUGGACAGUGAAACAAGGGGAGCGACUCCUCUCAACCUGACACAAUUACGGACUGUGGGAGAAGCACCCAGGUUACAAAAUCAACUCGUGAGGACAAACCAAGGGAUGCUGCUGCCCCUUGAACGUUUUUCUGUCUUGCUCUCCAGGAGCUGAGGAUCUCUGGACAAACUCUGAGAGACAGAGGUCAGAGGAAUGGGACAGAGGGUAUUACUGGCGUGGGACGAGGUAUUAAGAAAUGGACGCCUAAACUGAGGCUCCUACAUUUGUAUUUUGAGCCCCUCAAUGCGGGCUUGAUCCUGUGCCCUUUGAAGUCCAUGCCGACGCUUCCCCUGAAUCCAGUCUGCAAGAUGGAGUCCCAGUGACGGUCAGGUCCUGCAAAG
Gallus gallus (chicken) is the source of this 618-nucleotide long non-coding RNA. Lineage: Eukaryota; Metazoa; Chordata; Aves; Galliformes; Phasianidae. The record is from Ensembl.